GAUGAGCGCUGGCGGCGUGCCUAAUACAUGCAAGUCGAGCGAACGGACGAGAAGCUUGCUUCUCUGAUGUUAGCGGCGGACGGGUGAGUAACACGUGGAUAACCUACCUAUAAGACUGGGAUAACUUCGGGAAACCGGAGCUAAUACCGGAUGAUAUUUUGAACCGCAUGGUUCAAAAGUGAAAGACGGUCUUGCUGUCACUUAUAGAUGGAUCCGCGCUGCAUUAGCUAGUUGGUAAGGUAACGGCUUACCAAGGCAACGAUGCAUAGCCGACCUGAGAGGGUGAUCGGCCACACUGGAACUGAGACACGGUUCAGACUCCUACGGGAGGCAGCAGUAGGGAAUCUUCCGCAAUGGGCGAAAGCCUGACGGAGCAACGCCGCGUGAGUGAUGAAGGUCUUCGGAUCGUAAAACUCUGUUAUUAGGGAAGAACAUAUGUGUAAGUAACUGUGCACAUCUUGACGGUACCUAAUCAGAAAGCCACGGCUAACUACGUG
Molecule: ribosomal RNA, 497 nt
Filed under: uncultured bacterium
Lineage: Bacteria
Description: partial 16S ribosomal RNA
Rfam family: Bacterial small subunit ribosomal RNA
Source: RNAcentral